ACCAGCUGAUCCUGCUGGCGGGCACUGCUAUUGAAAUCCGACUCAAACAUGCAAGUCUAACAGUUCAAGCUAUGAUGAACUGUGGCGAACGGCUCAGUAACACGUAGUCAACCUACCUUCAAGAAAAGUAAACCCCAGGAAACUGGGACUAAUGCUUUAUAGGCAAUAAAUACUGGAAGGUUUUAUUGCUCAAAGAAUUACAUUCAUGCAUGUAAUUCACUUGAAGACGGGACUGCGCUGGAUUAGGUUGUUGGCGGGGUAACUGCCCACCAAGCCGAAGAUCCAUACGGGCCUUGAGAGAGGGAGCCCGGAGAAGGGAACUGAGAUAAGGUCCCUAGCCCUACGGGGUGCAGCAGUUGCGAAUUCUCUACAAUGCGCGAAAGCGUGAUAGGGGGAUUUCAAGUGUAAGCUUUGCUUGCUUUUGUAUAGUUUAAAUCGCUAUGCGAAUAAAUGGAGGGUAAGAUACGUGCCAGCCGCCGCGGUAAUACGUACUCCAUAAGUGGUGCCCACUAAUAUUGGGCCUAAAGCGUCUGUAGCCGGUCUAAAAAGUUUUUGGUGAAAUCUGCAAGCUCAACUUGUAGGAGUGCCGAAAAUACUCUUAGACUCGAGGCCGGGAGAAGUCAAAGGAAUUCCUGAGGUAGCGGUGAAAUGCUAUGAUCUUAGGAGGACCACCAGUAGCGAAAGCGUUUGACUAGAACGGACCUGACGGUGAGAGACGAAAGCUGGGGGAUCGACCCGGAUUAGAUACCCGGUUAGUCCCAGCCGUAAACGAUGCAGACUAGGUGUCCUAACAGCUACAGGCUGUAGGGGUGCCGAAGGGAAGCCGUUAAGUCUGCCGCCUGGGAAGUACGGUCGCAAGGCUGAAACUUAAUGGAAUUGGCGGGGGCGCACUACAAGGGGUGGAUGCUGCGGUUCAAUUGGAUACGACGCCAGAUAAUUUACCAGGGGUGACAGCAGAAUGAUGGACAGUCUGAAGGGCUUUCCUGACGCGCUGAGAGGUGUUGUAUGGUCAUCGUCAGCUCGUACUAUGAAGCGUCCUGUCAACUCAGGCAACGGGCGAGACCCACAUUCACAGUUGCUAUUCUUCUUUAGGAGGAGCACUCUAUGAAGACUGCGAGGGCAACCUUGAGGAAGGAGUGGGCAACGAUAGAUCAGUAUGGCCCGAAUCUCCUGGGCAACACGCGGCAUACAAUGGUUAAGACAAUGGGCUCCGAACCCGAAAGGGUAAGGCAAUCUCUUAAACUUAACCUCAGUUCGGACUGAGGUCUGUAACUUGGCCUCAUGAAGUUGGAAUCCCCAGUAAUCGGAAGUCAUUAUCUUCCGGUGAAUAAGUCCCUGCGCCUUGCACACACCGCCCAUCAAGCCAGCUGAAUGGGGUCUGGAUGAAAAUUAACUUCUUGGUUGAUUUGAUUCUAGUUUCUGUAAAGCGGGCU
Molecule: ribosomal RNA, 1433 nt
Filed under: metagenome
Description: bacterial SSU rRNA
Rfam family: Archaeal small subunit ribosomal RNA
Source: RNAcentral